GAUGGAAGAGGCCCAAGCACAAGCCCACAUGCAAGCCCACCAAAGGGUAGAUUUGGGCCAACCAUAGAGUUAUGGCCAAUAGGAUCCAAGAAGACGUUCUUUUACAUGUUCAAAUGCCAUAAACUCUAGUGUAGAGUAGACUUUAAUUUCUUGUCAAAAUUAGCAUAGGAACUUUAUUUGUAAUUUUCUUAGAAUUAAUUUUGGCACCUAAAACACCAACCUAGUAAACUUAGAGUUUCUAAAAAAACCUCUAAAUUUACCAAGGCCGGUCUAGAAAGCCCAUGGAGGGGGUGAGCAUAAAAACUAGACACACCCCUCCCCAUGUGCUCAUUUGUGCACCCUUGUGCUUCACAUUUACAUUUCAUUUGGCUAGCAUUAGGGUUGCAUUAUGGUCCUCCUUAGCCUAUAAAAGGAGGAGCCUACACCUUGUAUUUUCAAGUUUAUUGUGAGUAAAGUUAUGCUGCCAAUUUGUGC
This 474-nucleotide long non-coding RNA is filed under the name Phaseolus vulgaris (common bean). RNAcentral describes it as "long non-coding RNA (PVUL_LNC004335)". Lineage: Eukaryota; Viridiplantae; Streptophyta; Magnoliopsida; Fabales; Fabaceae. The record is from RNAcentral.